RNAcentral lists this ribosomal RNA (446 nucleotides) under uncultured bacterium. Its description in RNAcentral is "partial 16S ribosomal RNA". It matches the Rfam family "Bacterial small subunit ribosomal RNA", at positions 338 to 795 of the family's 1533-position model. The record is from RNAcentral.
CCUACGGGUGGCUGCAGUCGAGAAUCAUUCACAAUGGGGGAAACCCUGAUGGUGCGACGCCGCGUGGGGGAAUGAAGGUCUUCGGAUUGUAAACCCCUGUCAUGUGGGAGCAAAUUAAAAAGAUAGUACCACAAGAGGAAGAGACGGCUAACUCUGUGCCAGCAGCCGCGGUAAUACAGAGGUCUCACGCGUUGUUCGGAAUCACUGGGCGUAAGGCGUGCGUAGGCUGUUUCGUAAGUCGUGUGUGAAAGGCGCGGGCUCAACCCGCGGACGGCACAUGAUACUGCGAGACUAGAGUAAUGGAGGGGGAACCGGAAUGCUCGGUGUAGCAGUGAAAUGCGUAGAUAUCGAGAGGAACACUCGUGGCGAAGGCGGGUUCCUGGACAUUAACUGACGCUGAGGCACGAAGGCCAGGGGAGCGAAAGGGAUUAGAUACCCUAGUAGUC